GACGAACGCUGGCGGCGUGCUUAACACAUGCAAGUCGAACGGAAAGGCCCUGCUUUUGUGGGGUGCUCGAGUGGCGAACGGGUGAGUAACACGUGAGUAACCUGCCCUUGACUUUGGGAUAACUUCAGGAAACUGGGGCUAAUACCGGAUAGGAGCUCCUGCUGCAUGGUGGGGGUUGGAAAGUUUCGGCGGUUGGGGAUGGACUCGCGGCUUAUCAGCUUGUUGGUGGGGUAGUGGCUUACCAAGGCUUUGACGGGUAGCCGGCCUGAGAGGGUGACCGGCCACAUUGGGACUGAGAUACGGCCCAGACUCCUACGGGAGGCAGCAGUGGGGAAUAUUGCACAAUGGGCGGAAGCCUGAUGCAGCAACGCCGCGUGCGGGAUGACGGCCUUCGGGUUGUAAACCGCUUUCGCCUGUGACGAAGCGUGAGUGACGGUAAUGGGUAAAGAAGCACCGGCUAACUACGUGCCAGCAGCCGCGGUGAUACGUAGGGUGCGAGCGUUGUCCGGAUUUAUUGGGCGUAAAGGGCUCGUAGGUGGUUGAUCGCGUCGGAAGUGUAAUCUUGGGGCUUAACCCUGAGCGUGCUUUCGAUACGGGUUGACUUGAGGAAGGUAGGGGAGAAUGGAAUUCCUGGUGGAGCGGUGGAAUGCGCAGAUAUCAGGAGGAACACCAGUGGCGAAGGCGGUUCUCUGGGCCUUUCCUGACGCUGAGGAGCGAAAGCGUGGGGAGCGAACAGGCUUAGAUACCCUGGUAGUCCACGCUGUAAACGGUGGGUACUAGGUGUGGGGUCCAUUCCACGGGUUCCGUGCCGUAGCUGACGCUUUAAGUACCCCGCCUGGGGAGUACGGCCGCAAGGCUAAAACUCAAAGGAAUUGACGGGGCCCCGCACAAGCGGCGGAGCAUGCGGAUUAAUUCGAUGCAACGCGUAGAACCUUACCUGGGUUUGACAUGGAUCGGGAGUGCUCAGAGAUGGGUGUGCCUCUUUUGGGGUCGGUUCACAGGUGGUGCAUGGCUGUCGUCAGCUCGUGUCGUGAGAUGUUGGGUUAAGUCCCGCAACGAGCGCAACCCUUGUUCACUGUUGCCAGCACGUUAUGGUGGGGACUCAGUGGAGACCGCCGGGGUCAACUCGGAGGAAGGUGGGGAUGACGUCAAGUCAUCAUGCCCCUUAUGUCCAGGGCUUCACGCAUGCUACAAUGGCUGGUACAGAGAGUGGCGAGCCUGUGAGGGUGAGCGAAUCUCGGAAAGCCGGUCUCAGUUCGGAUUGGGGUCUGCAACUCGACCUCAUGAAGUCGGAGUCGCUAGUAAUCGCAGAUCAGCAACGCUGCGGUGAAUACGUUCCCGGG
Molecule: ribosomal RNA, 1343 nt
Filed under: uncultured bacterium
Lineage: Bacteria
Description: 16S ribosomal RNA
Rfam family: Bacterial small subunit ribosomal RNA
Source: RNAcentral